Non-coding RNA from Acanthosepion pharaonis, 108 nucleotides. NCBI's taxonomy places the organism in Eukaryota, Metazoa, Mollusca, Cephalopoda, Sepiida, Sepiidae. The record is from the annotation of a GenBank genome assembly.
UACAGCCAUAUCACGUUGAAACACCGGUUCACAUACGAUCACCGUAGUUAAGCAAUGUUGAGCCUAGUUCGUUCCUGGACGGUUGACAGCUCGGGAAUACCAGGUGCU